This 491-nucleotide ribosomal RNA is filed under the name uncultured bacterium. Its description in RNAcentral is "partial 16S ribosomal RNA". It matches the Rfam family "Bacterial small subunit ribosomal RNA", at positions 29 to 506 of the family's 1533-position model. The record is from RNAcentral.
AGUGAACGCUGGCGGUAGGCCUAACACAUGCAAGCCGAACGGCAGCACAGUAAGAGCUUGCUCUUACGGGUGGCGAGUGGCGUACGGGUGAGGAAUACAUCGGAAUCUACUUUUUCGUGGGGGUUAACGUAGGGAAACUUACGCUAAUACCGCAUACGACCUACGGGGGAAAGCAUUGGAUCUUCGGACCUUGCGCGAUUGAAUGAGCCGAUGUCGGAUUAGCUAGUUGGCGGGUGAAAUGCCCACCAAGGGGACGGUCCGUAGCUGGUGUGGGAGGAUGGUCCGGCACAGUGGAACUGAGACACGACACAGACUCCGACGGGAGGCAGCAGUGGGGAAUAUUGGAAAAAGGGCGGAAGACUGAUCCAGCCAUACAGCGUGGGUGAAGAAGGCCUUCGGGUUGUAAAGCCGUUUUGUUGGGAAAGAAAAGCAGCAGGUUAAUACCCCGCUGUUCGGACGGUACCCAAAGAAUAAGAACCGGCUAACUUCGU